Molecule: ribosomal RNA, 482 nt
Filed under: uncultured bacterium
Lineage: Bacteria
Description: bacterial SSU rRNA
Rfam family: Bacterial small subunit ribosomal RNA
Source: RNAcentral
UUGAACGCUGGCGGCAUGUUUUACACAUGCAAGUCGAACGGUAACAGGCCGCAAGGUGCUGACGAGUGGCGAACGGGUGAGUAAUAUAUCGGAACGUGCCCAGUCGUGGGGGAUAACGCAGCGAAAGCUGUGCUAAUACCGCAUACGAUCUCUGGAUGAAAGCGGGGGACUCGCAAGGGCCUCGCGCGAUUGGAGCGGCCGAUAUCAGAUUAGCUAGUUGGUGGGGUAAAAGCCCACCAAGGCGACGAUCUGUAGCUGGUCUGAGAGGACGACCAGCCACACUGGAACUGAGACACGGUCCAGACUCCUACGGGAGGCAGCAGUGGGGAAUUUUGGACAAUGGGCGCAAGCCUGAUCCAGCAAUGCCGCGUGCAGGAUGAAGGCCUUCGGGUUGUAAACUGCUUUUGUACGGAGCGAAAAGGCUCUCUCUAAUAAAGGGGGCUCAUGACGGUACCGUAAGAAUAAGCACCGGCUAACUACGU